Molecule: ribosomal RNA, 824 nt
Filed under: Listeria monocytogenes
Lineage: Bacteria; Bacillati; Bacillota; Bacilli; Caryophanales; Listeriaceae
Description: partial 23S ribosomal RNA
Rfam family: Bacterial large subunit ribosomal RNA
Source: RNAcentral
AAAUGUGCGUCCAAGCAGUGAGUGUGAGAAGUAGGCAAAUCCGCUUCUCGCGAAGCAUGAGCUGUGAUGGGGAAGGAAAUUAAGUACGGAAGUUCCUGAUUUCACGCUGUCAAGAAAAGCCUCUAGGAAGAGUAGUACUGCCCGUACCGCAAACCGACACAGGUAGAUGAGGAGAGAAUCCUAAGGUGAGCGAGAGAACUCUCGUUAAGGAACUCGGCAAAAUGACCCCGUAACUUCGGGAGAAGGGGUGCUCUAUUAGGGUGCAAGCCCGAGAGAGCCGCAGUGAAUAGGCCCAGGCGACUGUUUAGCAAAAACACAGGUCUCUGCAAAACCGUAAGGUGACGUAUAGGGGCUGACGCCUGCCCGGUGCUGGAAGGUUAAGAGGAGUGCUUAGCUUCGGCGAAGGUACGAAUUGAAGCCCCAGUAAACGGCGGCCGUAACUAUAACGGUCCUAAGGUAGCGAAAUUCCUUGUCGGGUAAGUUCCGACCCGCACGAAAGGCGCAACGAUCUGGGCACUGUCUCAACGAGAGACUCGGUGAAAUUAUAGUACCUGUGAAGAUGCAGGUUACCCGCGACAGGACGGAAAGACCCCGUGGAGCUUUACUGCAACCUGAUAUGGAAUGUUUGUACCGCUUGUACAGGAUAGGUAGGAGCCGAAGAGACGUGUGCGCUAGCAUACGAGGAGGCAAUGGUGGGAUACUACCCUGGCUGUAUGACCAUUCUAACCCGCCACGCUUAGCGCGUGGGGAGACAGUGUCAGGUGGGCAGUUUGACUGGGGCGGUCGCCUCCUAAAGAGUAACGGAGGCGCCCAAAGGUUCCCUC